RNAcentral lists this ribosomal RNA (253 nucleotides) under uncultured bacterium. Its description in RNAcentral is "partial 16S ribosomal RNA". It matches the Rfam family "Bacterial small subunit ribosomal RNA", at positions 524 to 776 of the family's 1533-position model. The record is from RNAcentral.
GACAGAGGUUCCGAGCGUUAGGCGGAAUCACUGGGCUUAAAGCGUGUGUAGGCGGACCGUUAAGUACCUUGUGAAAUCCCCCGGCUCAACCGGGGAACGGCUGGGUAUACUGGCGGUCUUGAGCCAUCCAGGGGCAGUCGGAACAGACGGUGGAGCGGUGAAAUGCGUAGAUAUCGUCUGGAACGCCGAAGGUGAAAACAGACUGCUGGGGAUGAGCUGACGCUGAGACACGAAAGCCAGGGGAGCGAACGGG